Molecule: ribosomal RNA, 818 nt
Filed under: uncultured beta proteobacterium
Lineage: Bacteria; Pseudomonadati; Pseudomonadota; Betaproteobacteria
Description: bacterial SSU rRNA
Rfam family: Bacterial small subunit ribosomal RNA
Source: RNAcentral
ACGGCAGCAUAGGUGCUUGCACCUGAUGGCGAGUGGCGAACGGGUGAGUAAUGCAUCGGAACGUGCCCAGUCGUGGGGGAUAACGCAGCGAAAGCUGUGCUAAUACCGCAUACGAUCUAUGGAUGAAAGCGGGGGACCUUCGGGCCUCGCGCGAUUGGAGCGGCCGAUGUUAGAUUAGGUAGUUGGUGAGGUAAAGGCUCACCAAGCCUACGAUCUAUAGCUGGUCUGAGAGGACGACCAGCCACACUGGAACUGAGACACGGUCCAGACUCCUACGGGAGGCAGCAGUGGGGAAUUUUGGACAAUGGGCGAAAGCCUGAUCCAGCAAUACCGCGUGCAGGAAGAAGGCCUUCGGGUUGUAAACUGCUUUUGUACGGAACGAAACGGUCUGGAUUAAUACUCUGGGCUAAUGACGGUACCGUAAGAAUAAGCACCGGCUAACUACGUGCCAGCAGCCGCGGUAAUACGUAGGGUGCAAGCGUUAAUCGGAAUUACUGGGCGUAAAGCGUGCGCAGGCGGUUUUGUAAGACAGGCGUGAAAUCCCCGGGCUCAACCUGGGAAUUGCGCUUGUGACUGCAAGGCUAGAGUACGGUAGAGGGGGGUAGAAUUCCGCGUGUAGCAGUGAAAUGCGUAGAUAUGCGGAGGAACACCGAUGGCGAAGGCAGCCCUCUGGACCUGUACUGACGCUCAUGCACGAAAGCGUGGGGAGCAAACAGGAUUAGAUACCCUGGUAGUCCACGCCCUAAACGAUGUCAACUGGUUGUUGGGGAAUUACUUUCUCAGUAACGAAGCUAACGCGUGAAGUUGACCGCCUUGGG